UACAGAGGGUGCGAGCGUUGUCCGGAAUUACUGGGCGUAAAGGGCGCGUAGGCGGUUCGAUAAGUCGGAGGUGAAAUUUCGUGGCUCAACCACGAACCUGCCUUCGAGACUGUCGGACUUGAGCACGGUAGAGGCAGAUGGAAUUCCCGGUGUAGCGGUGGAAUGCGUAGAGAUCGGGAAGAACACCAGUGGCGAAGGCG
Molecule: ribosomal RNA, 200 nt
Filed under: uncultured prokaryote
Description: partial 16S ribosomal RNA
Rfam family: Bacterial small subunit ribosomal RNA
Source: RNAcentral